Molecule: long non-coding RNA, 242 nt
Filed under: Mytilus galloprovincialis (Mediterranean mussel)
Lineage: Eukaryota; Metazoa; Mollusca; Bivalvia; Mytilida; Mytilidae
Source: RNAcentral
UAGUUUUGUUAAAUUCUUGGAGAAGAUUUUUGUAUAGUUUAAGGACGACGAUGAACGAUUGGGCCGAGUGAGCUAAAACAAAAUGUGGUAUUAUUGUCAAUGAAAUAACCUUUCACCAGAGGUAGUAGUUAACAAUUACAGGUAACAAUACGGCCUUCAACGAUGAACAAGAUGCAUUACGCAAAUCAAGCUGUGAAAAACACCGAAAUGUCAAAUGUUCAACAAUUCAAACUGGAAAAACG